RNAcentral lists this ribosomal RNA (441 nucleotides) under uncultured eukaryote. Its description in RNAcentral is "bacterial SSU rRNA". It matches the Rfam family "Eukaryotic small subunit ribosomal RNA", at positions 1220 to 1673 of the family's 1831-position model. The record is from RNAcentral.
AGGUCAGGACACGGUAAGAUUGACGGACUGAAGGCUCUUUCUCGAUUCCGUGGAAAGUGGUGCAUGGCCGUUUUUGGUUGGUGGAUCGAUCCGUCUGGUUAAUUCCGUUAACGAACGAGACCUCGGCACUCCGAAUAGCGCGGCGGACGUCGCGGCCUCCGGGCCGUCUUCCGCACGAGCUUCUUAGAGGGACCGUCCCCCGCCGGGGAAGGAGGUGCGAGGCAACGACAGGUCUGUGAUGCCCUUAGAUGUUCUGGGCCGCACGCGCAUUACACUGACGCGUCCAACGGGUGACUCCCGACCCGAAGGGGCCGGGGAAUCCGCAAGGCGCGUCGUGAUGGGGAUUGAACGUUGCAAUUGUUGUUCACGAACGAGGAAUUCCUAGUAGGCGCGGGUCAUCAACCCGCGCCGAUUACGUCCCUGCCCUUUGUACACACCGCC